This is a long non-coding RNA of Scomber japonicus (chub mackerel), 155 nucleotides long. RefSeq lists it as uncharacterized. NCBI's taxonomy places the organism in Eukaryota, Metazoa, Chordata, Actinopteri, Scombriformes, Scombridae. The record is from RefSeq and is a predicted model, not a curated record. The transcript has 3 exons.
CUGGAUGAGCUGUACGGCAUCUGGCGUAACCCUGCCUCCCCGAAGGUUGGCUACAACCUGCCAAUGCACAAGAUGACCAACACAGAUCUGAGCAGGAUUCUUAAGAGUGAGGAGAUCCAGAAAGCACUUUGCAAACUUAACAAGAAGAUCAAUCA